RNAcentral lists this ribosomal RNA (371 nucleotides) under uncultured organism. RNAcentral's name for it is "partial 16S ribosomal RNA". It matches the Rfam family "Bacterial small subunit ribosomal RNA", at positions 527 to 896 of the family's 1533-position model. The record is from RNAcentral.
GUAGGGUGCAAGCGUUAAUCGGAAUUACUGGGCGUAAAGCGUGCGCAGGCGGUUUUGUAAGUCUGACGUGAAAUCCCCGGGCUCAACCUGGGAAUUGCGUUGGAGACUGCAAGGCUGGAGUCUGGCAGAGGGGGGUAGAAUUCCACGUGUAGCAGUGAAAUGCGUAGAGAUGUGGAGGAACACCGAUGGCGAAGGCAGCCCCCUGGGUCAAGACUGACGCUCAUGCACGAAAGCGUGGGGGGAGCAAACAGGAUUAGAUACCCUGGUAGUCCACGCCCUAAACGAUGUCUACUAGUUGUCGGGUCUUAAUUGACUUGGUAACGCAGCUAACGCGUGAAGUAGACCGCCCUGGGAGUACGGUCGCAAGAUUA